UUGAUCGAGGUAUUUAAAAUUUUGAGAGGGAUAGAUAGAGUUGACGUGAAUAGGCUGUUUCCAUUGAGAGUAGGGGAGAUUCAAAUGAGAGGACAUGAUUUGAGAGUUAGGGGGCAGAAGUUUAAGGGAAACACGAAGGGGUAUUUCUUUACUCAGAGUGUGAUAGCUGUGUGGAAUGAGCUUCCUGUAGAAGUAGUAGAAGCCAGUUCAGUUGUGUCAUUUAAGGUAAAAUUGGAUAGGUAUAUGGACAGGAAAGGAGUGGAGGGUUAUGGGCUGAGUGCGGGUAGGUAGGACUAGGUGAGAUUAAGAGUUCAGCACGGACUAGGAGGGCCGUGAUGGCUCAUUUCUGUGCUGUGAUUGUUAUAUGGUUAUAUGGUUACCUGGGGACUUCUCAGACAAGGACUUGUACACAAAGUAAUAGAGACAGGUUCAGGCUCUCGCAAAUCAGUUCUGGUCCCAUUGGAGACAUGAAUAUUUGCCUUUGAUGCAAAGCAGACAAAAGUGAACAGAACCUCGCAGGAACCUUCAAGUUGGAGAUUUAGUCCUGCUUAGGGAUAGGCAGAUCGCCCGCAACUGCUGGCCAAUGGCCAGAAUCACUGCCACAUUCCCUGGUAAGGAUGGACAUAUCAGGAAGGUUGAGUUGAAAACUUCUGACCAAGGUGAUGUGAAAACUUACCAAAGACCAGUUGCAGAAGUCAUUCUACUUCUACCUAAAGACUGAUCUAGAGACUAAAGUUUUGUAUCAUGUUCAUAGUGACCUUACAAGGUCAGGCGGGGACUGUAUUGCCCUUAAGGCAUUUGUUUAGCUUUAUUACAUUUUCACUUUAGUAAUUCAUUUGUAAUUAUUUUCUAGUUAAAGUUAAGGUUGAUAACUACGUUGCAGUUGUUGGAAGUAAAUUCAUUAUCUGUGAUGUAUCGCGGCAUGCGAUGACAUCACACCCGGUUUCACCGCAUGUUGUAGGUAAAUACCGGUUUGUAGAAAUGGGAAGGCAGGGGCUUGAGUAUGCAGGAUCAGCGUGAGAAAAGUUCCAUUUCUACGCACUAAGAAGCAUCAUAGAAGCAAUGCCGUCAUUUCACAACCAGUAUAUCAAGGUCAUACAAAGGAAAAUCAAAAGAAUGCAGAAUGCAGAGUUACAUUUUGCAACAGUUUUAUUCUUUCACAGGAUACGAGACAAGGAUGUCUGUUAAGUCCCUUGUUAUUUAAUUUGGUGCUGGAACUCUUAGCUAUUGCACUUCGUGAAGCUAAAGAUAUUCAUGGAAUUAUCAUAAAUGGGACUAUUCAUAAGAUCUUCCUUUAUGCUGAUGAUUUCUUAGUUUAUAUUUCGAAUCCUGAAGAAUCCAUUCCUAGUUUAUUGAAACUAUUAAACAAACUUGGAAAGUUUUUGGGAUAUAAACUAAACCUUCAUAAAAGUGAAUUAUUUCCCCUAUAUGAUUCUGCUUCUAUAUAUGAUGACAUUCCUUUUAGAGUUAUGGACUCUUUUAAAUAUUUAGGUAUUAUUAUUAUUUAAAAUCAUAAAGACCUUUAUAAAACUAAAUUGGUUCCUUUAGUGGAUUUUAUGAAGCAAUUAUUUUGUAGAUGGAAUCCACUUACACUUCUGGUAGCUGGCUGAAUUCAUGUUGUUAAAAUGAUGAUUUUACCAAAAUUUCUAUAUGUAUUUCAAAAUAUCCCUUUUUUAACUAAGAAAUUUUUUGGUCAGGUUGACGCUAUCAUUUCAUCUUUUGUUUGGAAUAAUAAAAGUCAAAGAAUUGGUAAAUAUCAUUUAUAAAAAUUAAAAAAGGGUGGAGGUCUUGCUCUGCCUAAUUUGAGAAUGUACUAUUGGACUGUUAAUAUAUGUUAUAUGUGUUUUUGGUUAUAUUGGGCUGAUAAAAAUGAACGACCACCUUGGGCUGAUUUGGAAUUGAAAGCUAUGAAACAGUUCCACUUAAACUCAUUAUUAAGAGCUUCUCUACCCGUACAACUGGCCAAAAUUGCUAAUUUAAUUUUAUAUCCUCUGAUUAAGCAGUCAUUACAAAUUUGUUUCCAGUUUCAUAAUUCUUUUAAUCUCAAAAAAUUUAAACUUUUUAGUUUAAUUUAUCAAAGUUAUUUAUGCAAACCUUCAUUAAGUGAUCCUACUUUUCUUCUUUGGAUGAAUAAAGGAGUUAUUCCUUUAUGGAUCUGUUUCAAGAUGACCUUGUAACCUUGUAAGAUACUCUCUCUUGUAUUCACAUUUCUUGCAAUAUCUUCAGGUCAGACACUUCUUACAAGAAUAUUUAAUUAAUUUUCCAUAUAUACAGGAUUCUGACCUGUUAGAUAUUAUUUUAAAAAUGAACCCUUUAGUGAAAAGUUUUAUUGGGAAAGUGUAUAAUUUAUUAUUACAACAGCACAGUUACCCUUCACUUAAGAUUAAGCAAAAUUGGGAGAGAGAGCUUAACAUGACCUUGAUAACAGAGGAUUGGUUGCAGAUUUUGAAGUUGGUUAACUCUUCUUCGAUCUGUGCUAGUCACUCUUUAGUUCAAUUGUUUCCUAAUGUUGAUAGUCAGUGUGAUAGAUGUAAAACCGAGACAGCCACAUUGACACAUAUGUUUUGGUCGUGUUCUGUAUUGAAACAUUUUUGGAAAUCUAUUUUCUCUGCAAUUUCUAAAGUUUUAAAAGUUAAUUUACAACCUAAUAAAUUGACAGUUUUGUUUGGUAUAAGCCCUCAAUAUAUCAGACAUGUAAUUGCAUUUGUUACAUUAUUGGUCAGAAGGGCUAUUUUAUUGAAAUGGAAAGAUGUUUCUGCUCCUAAUUUGAUACAAUGGUUCUCUCAGGUGAUGCUAUGUCUUAGUUUGGAGAAAAUCAGAAGUUGAACUUUUGAUCCUCGAUUUGAUUUUGAGAAAAAGUGGGGUUCAUUUGCCCGCUACUAUCAUCUGAUUUGAGUUAAUUAAUAUGGUUUCCUUCUGAUUUUUGUUUAAAUGGAUUUGAGUUGGCAGAUUAAUGUUUUUUUUUUAUGGAAGCUUGUAUGAUGUAUAGCUCCGGUGUUGUGCUCCCAAUAGGGUUUUUGUUUCCAUUUUUUUUAGUUAGUAGGGGUUUUUUUUCUCUUAGUUCAUUGGGGUUCUUUUUUUUUCUUUUUUUAAAACAAAAAUUCUUAACACUUUAUUUUUUCUUAUUAU
This is a long non-coding RNA of Hypanus sabinus (Atlantic stingray), 3129 nucleotides long. RefSeq lists it as uncharacterized. Lineage: Eukaryota; Metazoa; Chordata; Chondrichthyes; Myliobatiformes; Dasyatidae. The record is from RefSeq and is a predicted model, not a curated record. The transcript is spliced from 3 exons.